Molecule: long non-coding RNA, 126 nt
Organism: Amblyraja radiata (thorny skate)
Lineage: Eukaryota; Metazoa; Chordata; Chondrichthyes; Rajiformes; Rajidae
Exons: 3
Source: RefSeq, a predicted model, not a curated record
GGCUGGCUCAGUUGAGGAGGACUGUGAGUAAGAUGGCCUAAAAUAUCAAGCCAUACAAGGUAGCGUUUUUUCUAAAAUCAAUAUACAGCGCAGACAGGAAGUGGUUCGAUGAGACUUUUACUUAUA